RNAcentral lists this ribosomal RNA (411 nucleotides) under uncultured bacterium. RNAcentral's name for it is "bacterial SSU rRNA". It matches the Rfam family "Bacterial small subunit ribosomal RNA", at positions 598 to 1004 of the family's 1533-position model. The record is from RNAcentral.
AAUCCCCGGGCUUAACCUGGGAACUGCAUUUUGUAACUGCAAGGCUAGAGUACGGCAGAGGGGGGUAGAAUUCCACGUGUAGCAGUGAAAUGCGUAGAUAUGUGGAGGAAUACCGAUGGCGAAGGCAGCCCCCCUGGGUCGAUACUGACGCUCAUGCACGAAAGCGUGGGGAGCAAAACAGGAUUAGAUACCCUGGUAGUCCACGCCCUAAACGAUGUCAACUAGGUGUUGGGGGAGGAGACUUCCUUAGUACCGCAGCUAACGCGUGAAGUUGACCGCCUGGGGAGUACGGUCGCAAGAUUAAAACUCAAAGGAAUUGACGGGGACCCGCACAAGCGGUGGAUUAUGUGGAUUAAUUCGAUGCAACGCGAAAAAACCUUACCUACCCUUGACAUGCCAGGACUUGCCAGA